GGGUUGUGAGGUUAAGCGACUAAGCGUACACGGUGGAUGCCCUGGCAGUCAGAGGCGAUGAAGGACGUGCUAAUCUGCGAUAAGCGUCGGUGAGGUGAUAUGAACCGUUAUAACCGGCGAUUUCCGAAUGGGGAAACCCAGUGUGUUUCGACACACUAUCAUUAACUGAAUCCAUAGGUUAAUGAGGCGAACCGGGGGAACUGAAACAUCUAAGUACCCCGAGGAAAAGAAAUCAACCGAGAUUCCCCAGUAGCGGCGAGCGAACGGGGAGGAGCCCAGAGCCUGAAUCAGUGUGUGUGUUAGUGGAAGCGUCUGGAAAGGCGCGCGAUACAGGGUGACAGCCCCGUACACAAAAAUGCACAUAUUGUGAGCUCGAUGAGUAGGGCGGGACACGUGGUAUCCUGUCUGAAUAUGGGGGGACCAUCCUCCAAGGCUAAAUACUCCUGACUGACCGAUAGUGAACCAGUACCGUGAGGGAAAGGCGAAAAGAACCCCGGCGAGGGGAGUGAAAAAGAACCUGAAACCGUGUACGUACAAGCAGUGGGAGCCUCUUAAUGGGGUGACUGCGUACCUUUUGUAUAAUGGGUCAGCGACUUAUAUUCUGUAGCAAGGUUAACCGAAUAGGGGAGCCGAAGGGAAACCGAGUCUUAACUGGGCGUUAAGUUGCAGGGUAUAGACCCGAAACCCGGUGAUCUAGCCAUGGGCAGGUUGAAGGUUGGGUAACACUAACUGGAGGACCGAACCGACUAAUGUUGAAAAAUUAGCGGAUGACUUGUGGCUGGGGGUGAAAGGCCAAUCAAACCGGGAGAUAGCUGGUUCUCCCCGAAAGCUAUUUAGGUAGCGCCUCGUGAAUUCAUCUCCGGGGGUAGAGCACUGUUUCGGCAAGGGGGUCAUCCCGACUUACCAACCCGAUGCAAACUGCGAAUACCGGAGAAUGUUAUCACGGGAGACACACGGCGGGUGCUAACGUCCGUCGUGAAGAGGGAAACAACCCAGACCGCCAGCUAAGGUCCCAAAGUCAUGGUUAAGUGGGAAACGAUGUGGGAAGGCCCAGACAGCCAGGAUGUUGGCUUAGAAGCAGCCAUCAUUUAAAGAAAGCGUAAUAGCUCACUGGUCGAGUCGGCCUGCGCGGAAGAUGUAACGGGGCUAAACCAUGCACCGAAGCUGCGGCAGCGACACUAUGUGUUGUUGGGUAGGGGAGCGUUCUGUAAGCCUGUGAAGGUGGCCUGUGAGGGUUGCUGGAGGUAUCAGAAGUGCGAAUGCUGACAUAAGUAACGAUAAAGCGGGUGAAAAGCCCGCUCGCCGGAAGACCAAGGGUUCCUGUCCAACGUUAAUCGGGGCAGGGUGAGUCGACCCCUAAGGCGAGGCCGAAAGGCGUAGUCGAUGGGAAACAGGUUAAUAUUCCUGUACUUGGUGUUACUGCGAAGGGGGGACGGAGAAGGCUAUGUUGGCCGGGCGACGGUUGUCCCGGUUUAAGCGUGUAGGCUGGUUUUCCAGGCAAAUCCGGAAAAUCAAGGCUGAGGCGUGAUGACGAGGCACUACGGUGCUGAAGCGACAAAUGCCCUGCUUCCAGGAAAAGCCUCUAAGCAUCAGGUAACAUCAAAUCGUACCCCAAACCGACACAGGUGGUCAGGUAGAGAAUACCAAGGCGCUUGAGAGAACUCGGGUGAAGGAACUAGGCAAAAUGGUGCCGUAACUUCGGGAGAAGGCACGCUGAUAUGUAGGUGAAGCGACUUGCUCGUGGAGCUGAAAUCAGUCGAAGAUACCAGCUGGCUGCAACUGUUUAUUAAAAACACAGCACUGUGCAAACACGAAAGUGGACGUAUACGGUGUGACGCCUGCCCGGUGCCGGAAGGUUAAUUGAUGGGGUUAGCGGUAACGCGAAGCUCUUGAUCGAAGCCCCGGUAAACGGCGGCCGUAACUAUAACGGUCCUAAGGUAGCGAAAUUCCUUGUCGGGUAAGUUCCGACCUGCACGAAUGGCGUAAUGAUGGCCAGGCUGUCUCCACCCGAGACUCAGUGAAAUUGAACUCGCUGUGAAGAUGCAGUGUACCCGCGGCAAGACGGAAAGACCCCGUGAACCUUUACUAUAGCUUGACACUGAACAUUGAGCCUUGAUGUGUAGGAUAGGUGGGAGGCUUUGAAGUGUGGACGCCAGUCUGCAUGGAGCCGACCUUGAAAUACCACCCUUUAAUGUUUGAUGUUCUAACGUGGGCCCCUUACCGGGGUUGCGGACAGUGUCUGGUGGGUAGUUUGACUGGGGCGGUCUCCUCCUAAAGAGUAACGGAGGAGCACGAAGGUUGGCUAAUCCUGGUCGGACAUCAGGAGGUUAGUGCAAUGGCAUAAGCCAGCUUGACUGCGAGCGUGACGGCGCGAGCAGGUGCGAAAGCAGGUCAUAGUGAUCCGGUGGUUCUGAAUGGAAGGGCCAUCGCUCAACGGAUAAAAGGUACUCCGGGGAUAACAGGCUGAUACCGCCCAAGAGUUCAUAUCGACGGCGGUGUUUGGCACCUCGAUGUCGGCUCAUCACAUCCUGGGGCUGAAGUAGGUCCCAAGGGUAUGGCUGUUCGCCAUUUAAAGUGGUACGCGAGCUGGGUUUAGAACGUCGUGAGACAGUUCGGUCCCUAUCUGCCGUGGGCGCUGGAGAACUGAGGGGGGCUGCUCCUAGUACGAGAGGACCGGAGUGGACGCAUCACUGGUGUUCGGGUUGUCAUGCCAAUGGCACUGCCCGGUAGCUAAAUGCGGAAGAGAUAAGUGCUGAAAGCAUCUAAGCACGAAACUUGCCCCGAGAUGAGUUCUCCCUGACUCCUUGAGAGUCCUGAAGGAACGUUGAAGACGACGACGUUGAUAGGCCGGGUGUGUAAGCGCAGCGAUGCGUUGAGCUAACCGGUACUAAUGAACCGUGAGGCUUAACCUUACAACGCCGAAG
This 2924-nucleotide ribosomal RNA is filed under the name Escherichia coli. RNAcentral's name for it is "23S ribosomal RNA". It matches the Rfam family "Bacterial large subunit ribosomal RNA". The record is from RNAcentral. Lineage: Bacteria; Pseudomonadati; Pseudomonadota; Gammaproteobacteria; Enterobacterales; Enterobacteriaceae.